UCCAUCGUGAGGUGGAAUCUGAAGGAAGCUUAAGGCAAAAUCUCGGUCUGAUGAACAAGAACCAGAUAAGAGGCUGAAUUGGGAUGGAUGAGUUUGCGUAACAAAACGAAGUCCAACACUACCCGAAUCCCAUAUUGUCAUUUCUCAAAUUAAUUUAGCCCAAAACCGAUAAAAUU
Molecule: non-coding RNA, 176 nt
Organism: Thermoanaerobacter pseudethanolicus ATCC 33223
Lineage: Bacteria; Bacillati; Bacillota; Clostridia; Thermoanaerobacterales; Thermoanaerobacteraceae
Source: Rfam